RNAcentral lists this long non-coding RNA (814 nucleotides) under Homo sapiens (human). RNAcentral's name for it is "HSALNT0361015". The record is from RNAcentral. Lineage: Eukaryota; Metazoa; Chordata; Mammalia; Primates; Hominidae.
GGUCUGUUUCUUUACUUCCUCCACGGAGUCGGCACACUAUGGCUGCCCUCUGGGCUCCCAGAACCCACAACAUGAAAGAAAUGGUGCUACCCAGCUCAAGCCUGGGCCUUUGAAUCCGGACACAAAACCCUCUAGCUUGGAAAUGAAUAUGCUGCACUUUACAACCACUGCACUACCUGACUCAGGAAUCGGCUCUGGAAGCUAGAGGAACCAGACCUCAUCAGCCCAACAUCAAAGACACCAUCGGAACAGCAGCGCCCGCAGCACCCACCCCGCACCGGCGACUCCAUCUUCAUGGCCACCCCCUGCGGCGGACGGUUGACCACCAGCCACCACAUCAUCCCAGAGCUGAGCUCCUCCAGCGGGAUGACGCCGUCCCCACCACCUCCCUCUUCUUCUUUUUCAUCCUUCUGUCUCUUUGUUUCUGAGCUUUCCUGUCUUUCCUUUUUUCUGAGAGAUUCAAAGCCUCCACGACUCUGUUUCCCCCGUCCCUUCUGAAUUUAAUUUGCACUAAGUCAUUUGCACUGGUUGGAGUUGUGGAGACGGCCUUGAGUCUCAGUACGAGUGUGCGUGAGUGUGAGCCACCUUGGCAAGUGCCUGUGCAGGGCCCGGCCGCCCUCCAUCUGGGCCGGGUGACUGGGCGCCGGCUGUGUGCCCGAGGCCUCACCCUGCCCUCGCCUAGUCUGGAAGCUCCGACCGACAUCACGGAGCAGCCUUCAAGCAUUCCAUUACGCCCCAUCUCGCUCUGUGCCCCUCCCCACCAGGGCUUCAGCAGGAGCCCUGGACUCAUCAUCAAUAAACACUGUUACAGCAA